GAUGAACGCUGGCGGCGUGCCUAAUACAUGCAAGUCGAGCGAACAGACGAGGAGCUUGCUCCUCUGACGUUAGCGGCGGACGUGUGAGUAACACGAGGAUCACCUACUUAUCUUUCGGGUAUAUCUACGGAACUCCGGAUCUAAUCCCGUAUAAUCUCUUGAACCGCAGGGGUCAAUAGUGAAAUUCGGCUUUUGUGUCACUACUCGCUGCAUCCGCGCCGCAUUAGCUAGUUGGUAAGGUCACGGCUUACCAAGGCAACGAUGCGUAGCCGACCUGACGGGGUGAUCGGCCACACUGGAGCUGAGACGCGGUCCAGACUCCUACGGGAGGCAGCAGUAGGGAACGUUCCGCAGUGGGCGAGAGCCUGACGGAGCAACGCGGAGCGAGUGAUGAAGGUCUUCGGAUCGUAAUACUCUGUUAUGAGGGAAGAACAACUGUGUAAGUAACUAUGCACUUCUUGACGGUAACUAAUCAGAAAGCAACGGCUAACUACGUG
RNAcentral lists this ribosomal RNA (497 nucleotides) under uncultured bacterium. RNAcentral describes it as "partial 16S ribosomal RNA". It matches the Rfam family "Bacterial small subunit ribosomal RNA", at positions 28 to 507 of the family's 1533-position model. The record is from RNAcentral.